AUCCUCAAGGUAGCACACACACACUGCUACAUCAUCCUCAAGGUAGCACACACACACACUGCUACAUCAUCCUCAAGGUAGCACACACACACUGCUACAUCAUCCUCAAGGUAGCACACACACACUGCUACAUCAUCCUCAAGGUAACACACACACACACACACACACACACUGCUACAUCAUCCUCAAGGUAACACACACACACACACACACACACACACACACACACACACACACACACUGUUACAUCAUCCUCAAGGUAACACACACACACACACACUGUUACAUCAUCCUCAAGGUAACACACACACACACACACUGCUACAUCAUCCUCAAGGUAGCACACACACACACUGCUACAUCAUCCUCAAGGUAGCACACACACACACUGCUACAUCAUCCUCAAGUUAACACACACACACACACACACUGCUACAUCAUCCUCAAGUUAACACACACACACACUGCUACAUCAUCCUCAAGUUAACACACACACACACUGCUACAUAAUCCUCAAGGUAGCACACACACACACACUGCUACAUCAUCCUCAAGGUAGCACACACACACACACUGCUACAUCAUCCUCAAGUUAACACACACACACACACACACUGCUACAUCAU
Long non-coding RNA from Oncorhynchus tshawytscha (Chinook salmon), 626 nucleotides. NCBI's taxonomy places the organism in Eukaryota, Metazoa, Chordata, Actinopteri, Salmoniformes, Salmonidae. The record is from Ensembl.